This 323-nucleotide ribosomal RNA is filed under the name uncultured eukaryote. RNAcentral's name for it is "partial 18S ribosomal RNA". It matches the Rfam family "Eukaryotic small subunit ribosomal RNA", at positions 1470 to 1796 of the family's 1831-position model. The record is from RNAcentral.
CCCUUAGAUGUCCUGGGCUGCACGCGCGCUACACUGAUGUGUCCAGUAAGCACCUAACCUCUUCCGAAAGGAACGGGUAACCUUGCAAAGCACAUCGUGAUGGGGAUAGAUUAUUGCAAUUAUUAGUCUUGAACGAGGAAUUCCUAGUAAGCACAAGUCAUCAGCUUGUGUUGAUUACGUCCCUGCCCUUUGUACACACCGCCCGUCGCUCCUACCGAUUGAAUGUUCCGGUGAGCUCUUCGGACUGCGCGGUCUGCAGUUUCUGCGUUCCGUGCGGAAAGUUGCGCAAACCUUAACAUUUAGAGGAAGGAGAAGUCGUAACA